GCACAGACAAUCGCGGCCGAUUUUUCGGGUGAGGAAAGUCCGGGCUUCACAGGGCAGGACGCCGGAUAACGUCCGGCGGGGGCGACCCCAGGACCAGUGCAACAGAAAAUAAACCGCCAGGGGCUGUUAUCAGCUUCCGGUAAGGGUGGAAUGGCAGUGUAAGAGACUACCGCAUUCAUGGUAACAUGAGUGGCUGUGUAAACUCCGUCCGAAGCAAGACCAAAUGUAAAGCAAUACGGCUGCCCGUCGUGCUUUCAGGUAGGUUGCUUGAGCCUGCUGGCAACAGCAGGACUAGAUAGAUGAUUGUCUGAUACAUAACCCGGCUUACAGUGCACCUCA
Molecule: RNase P RNA, 339 nt
Filed under: bovine gut metagenome
Description: Bacterial RNase P class A
Rfam family: Bacterial RNase P class A
About the family: Ribonuclease P (RNase P) is a ubiquitous endoribonuclease, found in archaea, bacteria and eukarya as well as chloroplasts and mitochondria. Its best characterised activity is the generation of mature 5'-ends of tRNAs by cleaving the 5'-leader elements of precursor-tRNAs.
Source: RNAcentral